CAGAGAUCAUGCCCUUCGGGGUAGACCUCCCACCCUGUGUUAUUUACUCUUGUUGCUUUGGCAGGCCGCCUUCGGGCUCCCGGCUUCGGCUGGGGCGCGCCUGCCAGAGGACCCCAACUCUGAAUCAUAAACGUGUCGUCUGAGUACUAUAUAAUAAGUUA
RNAcentral lists this unclassified non-coding RNA (161 nucleotides) under uncultured Helotiales. RNAcentral's name for it is "sequence contains ITS1". The record is from RNAcentral. Lineage: Eukaryota; Fungi; Ascomycota; Leotiomycetes; Helotiales.